Molecule: long non-coding RNA, 1008 nt
Organism: Oncorhynchus tshawytscha (Chinook salmon)
Lineage: Eukaryota; Metazoa; Chordata; Actinopteri; Salmoniformes; Salmonidae
Source: Ensembl
CCGAGGCCAGGCAGUGAUGGUGAGCAUCAUGAGAUGAGCAUCCUUUCCCCGAAUAUCAGUGCGCACUAAUUUUGCUCAGCUGCAGAUCAAAUUGCCUCUCGAGACCUACCACCACCCAGCCGGCUGCGCCCAAAAGAGCUACAAAGGAUGUCUACUGGUAACAGCAGCAGGGGAACAGCGGAGAAGGAUGGUACAGUAGCUGGCGUGAACAAGACAGUGGCAUCCGAGCCGAGCUAAGCGUAUUUCGACUGCACAGUGUCUGAGCGCCGGGAAAUUACACCCCCUAAUUUGUCUUUUCGACUGGAACAACGACGUUCACUUCUAACGCUAUUUGGAUACAUUUUUGCACCCUUCAUCCUUGGAUAGUGAACUACAGAACACAUCCUUGGCCAGCUCACGGCCACCAUUCACGCCCAAACCACAGAAUGACAGUGUUCACUCCUCCCAACCGAGCCAAAUAAAGACUUCCCAUCCUACUAAAGCCCCAUCUCAUCUCUCCAGUACUGUACCCCUGACCACAUCCACACAGACAGAGCAAACGUUGCCCAGGGACACAGUGGAACUGGUAGCCCCCGUCGGCCCAGAGCCCCAAACUGUGGCGAGAAGGAACCAGACCCCCAAAGCCGUCACCCUCCCAGUAACCCAGGUCGUGUCACUUUCAACCAUCAUCAACGGCAGCCAGAGUGCUGAUGAUGGAGUGAUCAUCAGCCAUCACUGGGAGCAGGUUGGAGGUCCAUCCAUAGAGCUUGGAGCUUUCUCAGACACACAGAUUCUCAACCUAUCCAACCUUGCCCCUGGGGAGUACACAUUCAGGUAUGGAUAGGACCUCUGUGGCCUAAACUUAGGGUCCAAAUCAAUUUCAUCCCAGUCAAUUCAAGCCUGAAAUUCAAAUAGUGAAAUAAAUCAAUCAAUCAAAUAGUUUGGGUAUGCUGCUCUACCAUGGAACAAAGGUCAGACUGCACUGACAGUUACAGUGCACGGUCUCUAUUAAUCAUAGUUGGUGUUUAA